GGGGGUGUGGUACAGUGGUAGAAUAUUGGUCUCCAAAACCAAGGACGGGGGUUCGAUUCCCUCCACCCCUGCCA
Molecule: transfer RNA, 74 nt
Filed under: Candidatus Komeilibacteria bacterium CG_4_10_14_0_8_um_filter_37_78
Lineage: Bacteria; Candidatus Komeiliibacteriota
Also listed under: 1 other name
Description: tRNA-Trp
Rfam family: tRNA
About the family: Transfer RNA (tRNA) molecules are approximately 80 nucleotides in length.
Source: RNAcentral